Molecule: long non-coding RNA, 2410 nt
Organism: Astatotilapia calliptera (eastern happy)
Lineage: Eukaryota; Metazoa; Chordata; Actinopteri; Cichliformes; Cichlidae
Source: Ensembl
GUUUAUUGAGGCUUUUGUGACUGAUACAAAGAUACGUGUUAGGCCUACUCCAGUUUGAGCCUCUUGGCUUUGUCUGUGGUAGUGAUGCAUUUGAGAGCAUUUUCACCAGUGGGUGAAUCAUGGUGGCUACAUGAUGUCUAUGAUCUUUCACAGAAUGAUAAAGUUCUCCAUACUUCUAUGGGAUACACUUUUAAUACCUAAUCCUGUCACUGAACAAUUGUGAGAUCUUCCACAAAGUUUGUUUUUAAGCAUUAUACAAUUUUCCAGUAUAUUUGUAGCAAAUCCCUCAACUUUUUUAUUAUUAUUAAAUUGUCAUCGGACAAAUGACUAAAUGUCUUUUUCAGGGAAUCAGAAAAUAUCUUUUAUUUUUUAAUUUUUUUUUCUUUUAAGUCUCGUCAAACAACCUUAAAACACCAAAAAACUAUUUUUUCUACCAAAGAAGUCGAUUUUGCUUUUAUCUAAAACAAAGGGUUAGGGCAGAAUUAGGGUCAGGGUUACCACCUAUCAUGACUUGGACCUCAGCGUUAAAAGCCUCAUGCUGGUAGGAGUUUACCCCUAAUGAGUAACAAGUGAGCUGUCAACCAUUUGGUCAAACAUUUUAGUGGCUAAUGUCAUCUGGAGCCUCAAGAGAUACGAGUUUGUCAAAUUAUUUUCUCUCAGAUAUCAUAAAGAUUCCAUUUUCUAUUUUCAAACAUAAAGUAUUUACACCUAAAUGACACUGAUACAAGAAACAUCCCUUAAGGCAGUUUAUUAGAAUUUAUAUAGCUACCCCACAAAAGACUUCAUACAACAGUUAGUUGUAUAUUUCUGAAAACCCGUAAACAGAUUUGAUGUGUAAAACUGAUGAAAGUUUUGAUGUAUUUGCAGUGUGUUUGUAUUUCUUCUGAUUAGUAGCUCAAUAAAAGCAGUGAUGUUAAUUUGAUAUUUUAUUCUGCAGCGUUACAACCACCAUGUUGCUCCUAAAGGCAAGCCCAUGCUCACUCUGUGCUUAUGCACUAUUAAUAUAUGAAAUAAACAUAAAACACAUUCGAGCUUUGAGAUUCUUUUUCCUUAGUAAUGCUUCUCUGUCGUUGUUGCUAACCAUGUAUUGGAGCUGUCAGACUUAUUUUAUAUUUUCCUCUGUGGUCGCUCAGUAUUUAUAUCCUCAGUAUUUUUAUCCUUUCUGCAUACUGUUGCAUUCAGUAUUAUAUAUUUGUAGUCAGUUUCCUGGCUUUUACAAGCACAAACAUGUUACAUUCUUCUACAACCUUGUUCGUUUUUGUUUUUUGUUUUUUUUAAAUCAUCUUUCUGCCUCUUUCCUUGCUCUUUUCUCCCUCUCUCUCAACCCACCUCCCCCCUCCCGCCCUCGCUCUCUCUCUCUUUCAUUCUUUGGUUAUGAGGCACUGGUCGUUAUUAUAGGACGCUGGCAAGCUUGCCGUCAGUUGCAUUCUGGCGAGAGUCAAGUGCCACAAGGUGCCUUUUUCUAUUUGUUUGUUUCAUGCAACACUGCACCAGCCACUGACCUGUGGUAUCCAUGUCGUGCAAGAGGGAGUCAGGUUCAUCCAAUCAAAAACGGGCUGAAAUUAACACUGAUCUUUCCAUUCCUGAAGAGAGACUGUGGCAAAAGGCAAUUUCAUGACUAUAGGGUGGACUUUUUUUCUAUUUUUUCUUUUUUUUUUUUACUUUUUAUUUGGAUUAUAUAUAUUCUCCUCUUUACAUUUUAAUGUGUUUGUUUACAGCCGGUUUAUGUCAUAAACAACAAACCCAGGGUUUAAACUCAUCAUUGCCGUUGUUAUUAAUUACAGCCUAAAGUGUUCACCCUCAAAACAAUUUUUUUGAGAUUUAAUCUGAAAGUGCGAUAUCACAGAUUUUGUCUCACUCUGAAUUCAAUCUGAUUCCCUGCAAUUCAGGACAUGCAAUAUUCAUAGUUGAUCCAUUGACUGCUAUUCAAGCGGGAACUAUUUGAAGAGGGAAAGUUCAUGUGCAUUUUUGAUGGAUUGUGCAUGUCUUCCCCUACUCUAUAUGGAUAGAGCGCUUGUUUGAAGGUCAGUGAUUCUCUUCAGUCAGAGUCUUCCCUCUACACUCCUUUUUUUGGGGUGGGGGAAGAAUAUCUCAAGUCUUCACUCCAUAUUUUUCAAGUGCUUCUAGGAUGACUAGGUUGGAUGACCUUGGAUCCUGGUGGAGAUGAAUCUCUUUGAGCUUCCCCUCUCUGCUUUUCUUGAAGAACUCUGUCACGAAGAAAGACAAUGACCUUCUGCUGUAAGACUUUUCAUGUAAAAUAUCCACUUUUUUCCAGCUCUCAACCUUUUCAUAUCUUUGAUAGCUCCUGUGUUUCUUGCUGUAUGUGUUGAAAUACAUUUUCCUUUAACAUACAUCAAUAAUAUCAUUCUAGUUACGUGUUCCACUUUUAUCUCAAAUUACGUCUUUUAGU